RNAcentral lists this long non-coding RNA (2088 nucleotides) under Lynx pardinus (Iberian lynx). Lineage: Eukaryota; Metazoa; Chordata; Mammalia; Carnivora; Felidae. The record is from RNAcentral.
AAAAAAAAGUCUUAAUCCUUUGCGAACACAAGGCCCUGGGCCCAGAAAGUUAUGUAGCUUAGUUUGGACAUUGGUCCUUAGUUUGGACAUUGGUUAAUGGUGUCAUAAAGUAAACCAACAAACAGAAAAUCCAAAAACAAAACCAAAAAACUAUGACUUUUAUAUUUCUUUUACUAAAUUCCGUUUACAGAAAUAAUCCCAGAUUCUAUGUAAACGAGAUAAAAAUGUUUUCAUCCACGACCAUUGUAUUUAGGAAAAACGUGUCCCCUGAAGACGCAGGAAGCUGUUGUGGAAGGAGUAUAGUUCCAAGAGAGUCGGAGGCAUCCACGUUCAGCCCUCAGCUCUGCCUCAUUUGCCGUCUCAGGGGCUCAGCUCCCUGGGCUGGGGGCGACCGGUCCCUCCUGCAGGGUGUCCUGAGGAGACAGGGUGAUGGGAGACGUUCGCAGAGGACCCGGCACAUAGCAGGUACUCAGUCCAAAGUACCCUUGAUUGUCAUGGUUACCGUUUGACGGGAAGGCUCACGCACAGUCUGACUGCUUUUAAUAUAAUGCAUUUUAAUAUAAUGUAUUUUAAUAUGAUGUUUUUUACCUACUUUUCAUGUAAGUUUAUCUCAUCUUAUUUUAAAAGUCAUACAACUGUAGGGGCGCCUACAGUUGGCUUGGUCGGUAGGGCAUGAGACACCUGAUCUCGGGGUUGCAAGUUCGAGCCCCACUUUGGGUGUAGAGAAUACUUAAAAAAAUACAAGUGUUAUAGAAAGUUUAAAGAACAUAAGUGGAGGCGGGGGUGGGGGGCUGGGUGGCUCGGUCGGUUAAGUGUCUGACUCUUGGUUUCCUCUCAGUUCGUGAUCUCAUGGGUUCAUGAGUUGGAGCCCCGAGUUGGGCUCUGGGCUGGCAGCAAGGAGCCUGCUUGGGAUUCCCUGUCUCUCCCUCUCUUUCUGCCCCUCCCCUGCUUGCGCUAUCUCUAUGUCUCUCAAAACAAAUAAAUAAACUUUAAAAAAAGGGUGGGGGGCACCUGGGUGGCUCAGUCAGUUAAGUGUCUGACUUCAGCUCCGGUCAUGAUCUCACAGUCUGUGAGUUCAAGCCCCACGUCGGGCUCUGUGCUGACCCCUCAGAGCCCAGAGCCUGCUUUGGAUUCUGUGUCUCCCACUCUCUCUGCCCCUCCCCUGCUCACACUCUGUCUCUCUCUCCUUCAAAAAUAAAUAAACAUUAAAAAAAAAAAAGGAACAUACAAGGAAGGAAGGAAGAUGGAAAGGGAGAAAAUUUCCAUCCUGGUCCCUCGACUCCAAAGACUUUGGCCAUUCUCUUUACGUUUUAUUUCUUUAUAGUUCUAUAAAUAGACAUAUAAAUACAUGACAUUUGUUAAACUUUUUUUCUUUUACCUCAUCAACUGAAUUUUAUUUACUUAUUUAAAAAUCUAUGUAUCGUGAAAAAAAAUAAAAAAUAAAAAAUAAAAAAAUAAAAAUCUAUGUAUCUUGAGAGAGAGCGAGAGAGCACGUGCGUGUGCGCGUGCACAAGUGGGGAAAGGGCGGAGAGAGGGAGAGAGAGCAUCCCAAGCAGGUUCCGUGCUGUCAGCACAGAUCCCGACACGGGGCUUGAACCCAUGAACCACGGGAUCGUGACCUGAGCGGGAAACACUACGUCACCAAGUGUCCUUAACUUGCUGUUGUCUCUUCUUUCCCAUUUGUGACUUGGUUUAAACACACACACACACACACACUCACUUUUUGUUUUUGUUUUUAACAGGUUCAGGCUUUUAUGUUUCCAUUUCUACAGUCUGUUACAGAAUCUGCUCAGUGAGGAAGGGAAGAGAAACCGAGUCGGUCGGGCCUCCUCCUCGGAACCUUUGUGAGGCCAGCUGGCCGGAGGGAAGCGGCCUUAGGUUCGGGGCGAUGCCGGGGCCCCAGCCCCGUUCUGUUCUGAACAGCUCUGUUCUCAGAGAAGUUCACGUUCCGCUGCGAAGCUCAGCUGCCAGGUCCACCGAAUGUGCGUACGUUAGAAGUCGCACAAGAGGGGCGCCUGGGCGGCGCAGUCGGUGAAGCGUCCGACUUCAGCCGGGUCACGGUCUCGCGGUCCGGGGGUUCGAGCCCCG